RNAcentral lists this ribosomal RNA (305 nucleotides) under uncultured bacterium. RNAcentral describes it as "bacterial SSU rRNA". It matches the Rfam family "Bacterial small subunit ribosomal RNA", at positions 333 to 630 of the family's 1533-position model. The record is from RNAcentral.
GCGAUCCUACGGGACGCAGCAGUAGGGAAUCUUCCACAAUGGGCGAAAGCCUGAUGGAGCAACGCCGCGUGGGUGAAGAAGGUCUUCGGAUCGUAAAACCCUGUUGUUGGAGAAGAAAGUGCGUGAGAGUAACUGUUCACGUUUCGACGGUAUCUAACCAGAAAGCCACGGCUAACUACGUGCCAGCAGCCGCGGUAAUACGUAGGUGGCAAGCGUUAUCCGGAUUUAUUGGGCGUAAAGGGAACGCAGGCGGUCUUUUAAGUCUGAUGUGAAAGCCUUGGGCUUAAACGGAGUAGUGCAUUGGA